RNAcentral lists this unclassified non-coding RNA (422 nucleotides) under fungal sp. RNAcentral describes it as "partial internal transcribed spacer region". The stretch from base 1 to 46 matches the Rfam family "Eukaryotic small subunit ribosomal RNA", at positions 1786 to 1831 of the family's 1831-position model. Lineage: Eukaryota; Fungi. The record is from RNAcentral.
AAGUCGUAACAAGGUUUCCGUAGGUGAACCUGCGGAAGGAUCAUUAACACGUAUCCAAACGUUAAAACCCCCCGUGAACCUUCAUCGUUCUCGUACUCUUUGUCAGAAUGGAUCAUUCAGACAUUCCUGGUAAAUCAUCGCCAACGGGUUUUGAUUCAGGUGACUUCUGCGUGAGUAAAGUAGUACCAUAGAACGUCAAGUGGCCCGGCAUUCUUCCGCAUAAUUGAGUCUGAAAGUGGCAAGUCUGAAAGUGGCAUCAGUUAUGUAUCGAAUGGCGCAGUAACGAUCACUAGAGGCCGACACGGCCGGCGACCGGGUCAGUGAGCUCUGCUCCCGCUGUUACGUCAAACCCCAUGUUCCCCUCUAGUGAAAGCUAUUGGGUUAUAACUAAACGACUGUUAACAAUGGAUAUCUCGAUUCUC